GCGCCCGGCGCUCAGAUGGAUAGAGCACUUGGCUACGAACUAAGGGGUCGGAGGUUCGAAUCCUUCCGGGCGCACCA
RNAcentral lists this transfer RNA (77 nucleotides) under Nevskia sp. RNAcentral's name for it is "tRNA-Arg". It matches the Rfam family "tRNA". Rfam says of the family: Transfer RNA (tRNA) molecules are approximately 80 nucleotides in length. Lineage: Bacteria; Pseudomonadati; Pseudomonadota; Gammaproteobacteria; Nevskiales; Nevskiaceae. The record is from RNAcentral.